GGGUUGUGAGGUUAAGCGACUAAGCGUACACGGUGGAUGCCCUGGCAGUCAGAGGCGAUGAAGGACGUGCUAAUCUGCGAUAAGCGCCGGUAAGGUGAUAUGAACCGUUAUAACCGGCGAUUUCCGAAUGGGGAAACCCAGUGUGACUCGUCACACUAUCAUUAACUGAAUCCAUAGGUUAAUGAGGCGAACCGGGGGAACUGAAACAUCUAAGUACCCCGAGGAAAAGAAAUCAACCGAGAUUCCCCCAGUAGCGGCGAGCGAACGGGGAGGAGCCCAGAGCCUGAAUCAGCAUGUGUGUUAGUGGAAGCGUCUGGAAAGGCGCGCGAUACAGGGUGACAGCCCCGUACACAAAAGCGCAUGUGCUGUGAGCUCGAUGAGUAGGGCGGGACACGUGGUAUCCUGUCUGAAUAUGGGGGGACCAUCCUCCAAGGCUAAAUACUCCUGACUGACCGAUAGUGAACCAGUACCGUGAGGGAAAGGCGAAAAGAACCCCGGCGAGGGGAGUGAAAAAGAACCUGAAACCGUGUACGUACAAGCAGUGGGAGCACCCUUUGGGGUGUGACUGCGUACCUUUUGUAUAAUGGGUCAGCGACUUAUAUUCUGUAGCAAGGUUAACCGUAUAGGGGAGCCGCAGGGAAACCGAGUCUUAACCGGGCGUUAAGUUGCAGGGUAUAGACCCGAAACCCGGUGAUCUAGCCAUGGGCAGGUUGAAGGUUGGGUAACACUAACUGGAGGACCGAACCGACUAAUGUUGAAAAAUUAGCGGAUGACCUGUGGCUGGGGGUGAAAGGCCAAUCAAACCGGGAGAUAGCUGGUUCUCCCCGAAAGCUAUUUAGGUAGCGCCUCGUGAAUUCAUCUCCGGGGGUAGAGCACUGUUUCGGCUAGGGGGCCAUCCCGGCUUACCAACCCGAUGCAAACUGCGAAUACCGGAGAAUGUUAUCACGGGAGACACACGGCGGGUGCUAACGUCCGUCGUGAAGAGGGAAACAACCCAGACCGCCAGCUAAGGUCCCAAAGUCAUGGUUAAGUGGGAAACGAUGUGGGAAGGCCCAGACAGCCAGGAUGUUGGCUUAGAAGCAGCCAUCAUUUAAAGAAAGCGUAAUAGCUCACUGGUCGAGUCGGCCUGCGCGGAAGAUGUAACGGGGCUAAACCAUGCACCGAAGCUGCGGCAGCGA
Molecule: ribosomal RNA, 1178 nt
Filed under: Salmonella enterica subsp. enterica serovar Newport
Lineage: Bacteria; Pseudomonadati; Pseudomonadota; Gammaproteobacteria; Enterobacterales; Enterobacteriaceae
Description: bacterial LSU rRNA
Rfam family: Bacterial large subunit ribosomal RNA
Source: RNAcentral